AUGGGGGGGACCCUGAUCCAGCCAUCCCGCGUGUAUGAUGAAGGCCUUCGGGUUGUAAAGUACUUUUGGCAGAGAAGAAAAGGUAUCUCCUAAUACGGGAUACUGCUGACGGUAUCUGCAGAAUAAGCACCGGCUAACUACGUGCCAGCAGCCGCGGUAAUACGUAGGGUGCAAGCGUUAAUCGGAAUUACUGGGCGUAAAGCGUGUGUAGGCGGUUCGGAAAGAAAGAUGUGAAAUCCCAGGGCUCAACCUUGGAACUGCAUUUUUAACUGCCGAGCUAGAGUAUGUCAGAGGGGGGUAGAAUUCCACGUGUAGCAGUGAAAUGCGUAGAUAUGUGGAGGAAUACCGAUGGCGAAGGCAGCCCCCUGGGAUAAUACUGACGCUCAGACACGAAAGCGUGGGGAGCAAACAGGAUUAGAUACCCUGGUAGUCCACGCCCUAAACGAUGUCAACUAGCUGUUGGGGCCGUUAGGCCUUAGUAGCGCAGCUAACGCGUGAAGUUGACCGCCUGGGGAGUACGGUCGCAAGAUUAAAACUCAAAGGAAUUGACGGGGACCCGCACAAGCGGUGGAUGAUGUGGAUUAAUUCGAUGCAACGCGAAAAACCUUACCUACCCUUGACAUGUCUGGAAAGCCGAAGAGAUUUGGCCGUGCUCGCAAGAGAACCGGAACACAGGUGCUGCAUGGCUGUCGUCAGCUCGUGUCGUGAGAUGUUGGGUUAAGUCCCGCAACGAGCGCAACCCUUGUCAUUAGUUGCUACGCAAGAGCACUCUAAUGAGACUGCCGGUGACAAACCGGAGGAAGGUGGGGAUGACGUCAAGUCCUCAUGGCCCUUAUGGGUAGGGCUUCACACGUCAUACAAUGGUCGGGACAGAGGGUCGCCAACCCGCGAGGGGGAGCCAAUCUCAGAAACCCGAUCGUAGUCCGGAUCGCAGUCUGCAACUCGACUGCGUGAAGUCGGAAUCGCUAGUAAUCGCGGAUCARAUGUCGCGUGAAUACGUCCCGGGUCUGUACACACCGCCC
This 1022-nucleotide ribosomal RNA is filed under the name Alcaligenes sp. RNAcentral's name for it is "bacterial SSU rRNA". It matches the Rfam family "Bacterial small subunit ribosomal RNA", at positions 371 to 1395 of the family's 1533-position model. The record is from RNAcentral. Lineage: Bacteria; Pseudomonadati; Pseudomonadota; Betaproteobacteria; Burkholderiales; Alcaligenaceae.